RNAcentral lists this transfer RNA (76 nucleotides) under Podarcis lilfordi (Lilford's wall lizard). Its description in RNAcentral is "tRNA.Lys". The stretch from base 7 to 65 matches the Rfam family "tRNA", at positions 8 to 63 of the family's 71-position model. From Rfam's summary of the family: Transfer RNA (tRNA) molecules are approximately 80 nucleotides in length. Their secondary structure includes four short double-helical elements and three loops (D, anti-codon, and T loops). Lineage: Eukaryota; Metazoa; Chordata; Lepidosauria; Squamata; Lacertidae. The record is from RNAcentral.
UCAGGAUGGCUCAGUCAGCAGAGCAUGAGACUCUUAAUCUCAGAGUUGUGGGUUCAAGCCCCUACAUGGGGCAAAA